CUCUGAACUGGAAAGAGGAAGAGAAAGAAAAAAGAGAGCGCUUUAGUUGGAGGGCUUGGACAGCUCCUCCUGGAGUCCCAGGACCUGCCUCUGCAGAGCUUCCCUCCGCUCUGGCCUUCCCGUCUAUAAACCAAGAAGAAUCGGGGCUCCAGCUUGCCAGGGCCAGCUCACUUCCGGGGAGAAUCCUGGGAGCAGGAAACCAAGAACAAAAAUCUCUGAAUGCAGAUUUAUGCUUUUAAGAAGCCGGAGUCAUCCCCAGCCUUUCAGAGUCUGAUGUUCCUUUCCCAUUCUCGGGGCUGGGUGCAUGGAGA
This 311-nucleotide long non-coding RNA is filed under the name Ictidomys tridecemlineatus (thirteen-lined ground squirrel). RNAcentral describes it as "lncRNA (ENSSTOG00000031808.1)". Lineage: Eukaryota; Metazoa; Chordata; Mammalia; Rodentia; Sciuridae. The record is from RNAcentral.